Molecule: long non-coding RNA, 490 nt
Organism: Etheostoma cragini (Arkansas darter)
Lineage: Eukaryota; Metazoa; Chordata; Actinopteri; Perciformes; Percidae
Exons: 6
Source: RefSeq, a predicted model, not a curated record
UAAAUGCACCACUGGCCCAAAGGUCCAAAGACUUGGAAGAGGACAAUGAAGGGGAAGAGCUCAGGUAAAAGGUGUGAUGUAUCACCCCAAAACCAGGCGUCUUUGAUCCGGAUUCCACAAUCAUACCCAUUUAACGUGUCCACCGGCGCGGGCGCAUCCAUCCCAGCCCGGGUAAGAAACAGAAACGGACACUGUACAAUUGUUUCCGGAGACGUAAUGUUAGGACUGCAGGCAAACACAUAUGGGCCCUAAGGGGCCCCAAAGGGACAAAGCAGCAGAGAAGCUGGGGGCAUCCAGCCGCCAGCCCUCAGCCACAGAGACCCCCAGUCCAGAACCACACACCGGCACAGCAUAUUCCCAGGGUCAGUGAACAGGACAUCAGCAGCUGCCAGGGGCUGCGUACCGGAGCUUAUAUUGGCAAUGAGACGCGCAGCAUCGAGUUCAAACUAGGCAGAGGAAUAUAUAUGGAGAACAAUUUCAGGAAACAGGU